RNAcentral lists this ribosomal RNA (916 nucleotides) under uncultured archaeon. RNAcentral's name for it is "bacterial SSU rRNA". It matches the Rfam family "Archaeal small subunit ribosomal RNA", at positions 1 to 923 of the family's 1478-position model. The record is from RNAcentral.
UUCCGGUUGAUCCCGCCGGAGGUUACUGCUAUCGAGGUUCGACUAAGCCAUGCGAGUCGAAUGUAGCAAUACAUGGCGUACUGCUCAGUAACACGUGGAUAACCUACCCUUGAGAUGGGAAUAAACCCGGGAAACUGGGUAUAAUACCCAAUAGAUCUCGACUGCUGGAAUGCAUCGAGCUCCAAAGCUCCGGCGCUCAAGGAUGGAUCUGCGGCCUAUCAGGUAGUAGUGGGUGUAGUGUACCUACUAGCCUACGACGGGUACGGGUUGUGAGAGCAAGAGCCCGGAGAUGGAUUCUGAGACACGAAUCCAGGCCCUACGGGGUGCAGCAGGCGCGAAAACUUUACAAUGCUGGAAACAGCGAUAAGGGGACCUCGAGUGCCAGGUUACAAAUCUGGCUGUCGUGAUGCCUAAAAAGCAUUGCAUAGCAAGGGCCGGGCAAGACCGGUGCCAGCCGCCGCGGUAACACCGGCGGCUCGAGUGGUAACCGUUAUUAUUGGGUCUAAAGGGUCUGUAGCCGGCCGGAUAAGUCUCUUGGGAAAUCUGGCAGCUUAACUGUCAGGCUUUCAGGAGAUACUGUCUGGCUCGAGGCCGGGAGAGGUGAGAGGUACUUCAGGGGUAGGGGUGAAAUCUUGUAAUCCUUGAAGGACCACCAGUGGCGAAGGCGUCUCACCAGAACGGACCUGACGGCAAGGGACGAAAGCUAGGGGCACGAACCGGAUUAGAUACCCGGGUAGUCCUAGCCGUAAACGAUACUCGCUAGGUGUCGGCAACGGUGCGACCGUUGUCGGUGCCGUAGGGAAGCCGUGAAGCGAGCCACCUGGGAAGUACGGCCGCAAGGCUGAAACUUAAAGGAAUUGGCGGGGGAGCACCACAACGGGUGGAGCUUGCGGUUUAAUUGGAUUCAACGCCGGAA